This 492-nucleotide ribosomal RNA is filed under the name uncultured bacterium. RNAcentral's name for it is "partial 16S ribosomal RNA". It matches the Rfam family "Bacterial small subunit ribosomal RNA", at positions 29 to 507 of the family's 1533-position model. The record is from RNAcentral.
AGUGAACGCUGGCGGUAGGCCUAACACAUGCAAGUCGAACGGCAGCACAGUAAGAGCUUGCUCUUACGGGUGGCGAGUGGCGGACGGGUGAGGUAUACAUCGGACUCUACUUUUUCGUGGGGGAUAACGUAGGGAAACUUACUCUAAUACCGCAUACGACCUACGGGUGAAAGCAGGGGAUCUUCGGACCUUGCGCGAUUGAAUGAGCCGAUGUCGGAUUAGCUAGUUGGCGGGGUAAAGGCCCACCAAGGCGACGAUCCGUAGCUGGUCUGAGAGGAUGAUCAGCCACACUGGAACUGAGACACGGUCCAGACUCCUACGGGAGGCAGCAGUGGGGAAUAUUGGACAAUGGGCGCAAGCCUGAUCCAGCCAUACCGCGUGGGUGAAGAAGGCCUUCGGGUUGUAAAGCCCUUUUGUUGGGAAAGAAAAGCAGCAGGUUAAUACCCCGCUGUUCUGACGGUACCCAAAGAAGAAGCACCGGCUAACUUCGUG